RNAcentral lists this non-coding RNA (221 nucleotides) under Rhodopseudomonas palustris. The record is from RNAcentral. Lineage: Bacteria; Pseudomonadati; Pseudomonadota; Alphaproteobacteria; Hyphomicrobiales; Nitrobacteraceae. RNAcentral also lists the same sequence under 1 other name.
GUUGGUGAGCACUGCCGAGGUUCCCUGCUGCAGGCGUUUCAGCAGGGCUAAGACGGGAAGCCGAUGGCGCUCGCGUUGAGCGGAAUUCGGCGCUGCCCCCGCAACUGUGAGCGGCGAGCGGCGGUUCGAUGGGUGUCACUGGCGUUUACGAAGCGCUGGGAAGGCUAGAACCGUCGCGACGACCCGUGAGCCAGGAGACCUGCCUUUGGCGUGAUGACGUU